GCUGAAACAGCGGUUCUCGUACGAUCACCAAAGUUAAGCAACGUCAGUACUUAGAUGGGUGACCGCUUGGGAAUACCAGGUGCU
Acanthosepion pharaonis is the source of this 84-nucleotide non-coding RNA. Lineage: Eukaryota; Metazoa; Mollusca; Cephalopoda; Sepiida; Sepiidae. The record is from the annotation of a GenBank genome assembly.